GUUCAGAAAAAAACCUAGUAAGUUGGCCUUUUUAAAAUGUUUCACAUUUCGUUAAAGUAUUGUUUAAUUCUCUUUUGGUGAGUGUCAGAAUAUAGAAUUAUGCUUUUGAGUCGUAGAUAUUAUUAUCAUAUCCACUUGGAGCUUUUGCCAAAUCUAAAUCGCCAUCACAGUUGACAAGGAUAUCAUCCAAACUUGAUGGUUGUCCAUUGACAUUGUUCAGAUCUUCGUAAACUCCUGGUUCUAGUUCUAACCGUAAAGAUGUG
RNAcentral lists this long non-coding RNA (263 nucleotides) under Mytilus galloprovincialis (Mediterranean mussel). Lineage: Eukaryota; Metazoa; Mollusca; Bivalvia; Mytilida; Mytilidae. The record is from RNAcentral.